RNAcentral lists this long non-coding RNA (2917 nucleotides) under Homo sapiens (human). RNAcentral's name for it is "long intergenic non-protein coding RNA 2977". The record is from RNAcentral. Lineage: Eukaryota; Metazoa; Chordata; Mammalia; Primates; Hominidae.
UACUGAUCUAUUUCUGUGCCAAUACCACCUACUGUAACUUUAAAAUAGGUUUUUGUUUAUACCAAGUAAGAAUAAGUUACCAUUAUUUUUCCAUUAAUUUUUUUUUUUUUUUUUGAGACAAGGUCUCACUCUGUCACUCUGUUGCCCAGGCUGGAGUGCAGUGGCAUGAUCUCAGCUCACUGUAACCUCUGCCUCCCUGCUUCAAGCUAUUCUCCCACCUCAUCCUCCCGAGUAACUGGGACUACAGAUGCGUGCCACCACACCUGACUAAUCUUUAUAUUUUUAGUAGAGAGGGGGGUUUCACCGUGUUGGCCAGGCUAGUCUCGAGCUCGUGACCUCACGUGAUCCUCCCGUCUCCGCCUCCCAAAGUGCUGGAAUUACUGGCAUGAGCCACCGAGGCUGGCCUGAGUAUUCUAGUUUAUAACUUACAAGGUCAUUCAUAUGUAUAUGUUGUUGUGCUUGUCUAGCUAUUUUAUAUUUUGUUAUUCUGAACUCUUGGCCUCUAUCUCAGCUCCAGCCCCUGAAAGUGCAGGAGUGCUUUUGCUCUGCCAGUCGGCCUUUUUUGGGAAAUCAUAUCAAGAUGGCUUUUCCAGCACAAUUACUUCCUAGAGUGUCUGCUUGAUGCAUGGAAACUCAUAGAUUUUUGGCAUGCCAAACAGAGGGUUUUCCUGCCGUCACUGCUGGCUCCAGCCACAGACUUCAGUUUUCUUACCUGUUAGAGCCUUUGUCCUCUGACUGGUGGAAAUGGAGCUUGCUUCUUUUUGUUUUGCCUGCCACUAGUCUGGCAGCCUCCACCUCUUGACCCUUGGGUUUCUUAUCCUUGGAAUCAGAUACGAGGCCCUGUGUCUUCUGUUGCUGUAGAGGACACAAGUCAUAUUCUCUGAGUGGAGAUCUCUCUGAAGCUCCUCUUUCCAGGCUUGUACUGAGGGACCUCUGGACCCUCUACCACGUGGUGUCAAAGCUGCCAAGAGCUGUCAUAUGCUGGGUCUGUAAAUUGACUUUCUCACCUCUGACCAGAUGCAUUCACUUGAGCGGCACAGAGAUUUGGGGGAGUGAAAGGGCACUGUUUCUUUGGGUCCGUGGGCUUGUGUCCCAUCCCCUAGCCUUGGGGUUAGCAGGAUUCAGAAUUUAUGAGUGUGGUCUGCAAAAGUCUACCUCUACCAGAUGGGGGAGAACCUAGUGUGUGGACCUGAAGGGUUAGCUCUGUGCUUUAGUCCCUGGGAGUGGCCAUCUUGAGUCUUGGUGGGCUUGGCAAGUAAGGAGACAUUGACCAGAUUCAAAGCUUCCAGAGGUGGUGAGAACUCCAGGGCCGAGUAAUGGAGAGUACAAAGGUCCUUCUUGGCCCCCAUGACCCUUCCAAGCCAAGAACUUGGCAGUAGCUGUGAGAAGCAGAGAUAGGGAGAGGAGGUGAGGGGCACCUAUAGCUCUUAGCCAUGAGUUAUGACUCCCUCCAUCCAAGGGAGACCCAAGGACAUGAAAGGGGACUCAGUUCCAAGGAUCAGAGGGAACUUGGGUUGUUUUGGGAUAAUGACUGUGGCUUGGGAUGUCACGGAGAUGAACACCAGAAUUGGUGUGCAACAGAUGAGCUCCAGUACCCCUGAUAGUUUGCAUGGGUUUUGCUCUGCUGAUGAUGGUCAGGGACAGCAGUGAGGCCCUCUACAAUGCCGCCUUCUGCCUAAACACAGGCAGUGCCCACAAAAGGGGAGCUGUCAUUAUGGAGCCUAGGAAUGGAUAGUCAGAGAGCAGCGGCUGGGCAGUGCAACUCCUGCAUUGGACAAGGUCCUGGCUAGAGAAUGUCAAUGUCCACACUGCAUGUAGCCCUAUCGAGGAGAUGAUGUAGGGGGCUGUCAGCCUUGGAGACUCUAGCCUAAGUACCCCACCACCACUCUGGCUGGCUUCCAAGGGCACAAAUCAGCUUUCUGAAUCUGACUUGGCUUCCUGUGAUCUGCAUUCAUGAACAUUCUUACUAGAGUUCUCAUGGAAAAUGAAUACACAACUAUUUGGUCUGAAUGUGUCUGAGUUUGGUGUCUCCAAAACAAUUCUCUGGAUUAGAUGGAGAAUGAAGAAACUUCACAAAGGCAAAAGGACAGGUCCCCAUCUCGACCCCCAGAGACCACUUCUCAGAGUCUCUAUCUGUUCGUCUCUGGUGUUAGCCACGUUCCUUUACUUUCCCUCAUUUCUGUGGCCACUCCUGUGGCUUCCUCUCUUUCAACCUGCAGGCUGCUGCUGCCCUGCCUCAGACCCUUGUAGGCUUCUGUAGAGAUGCUACUCAGAUGGGGGUGGAGCUAGAUGCAGAGCUGAAACCCACCUAGGAGAUCUAGCUUGGAGAGCUUGUGAAUCUUAGGAGAGCUAGGCAUAGAAUGACUAAAGUUUGUCACCGCAUGAGAUAAAAUAAAUGAAAAGCCACUUCUGGAGGGAAUGAGGCAGUCUGCCUUUAUUGGAGAGAUACAUAUUGUUGAACAGCUCUGGGCAGUUGAUUGUGUGCCUGGGAGAGCUAACCAUGUUUACUCUACACUUGACCUGUGAUGGUCUGUAUUGAUUGUAUCACACGCUUAGCUUUCUAAGGCUAACCAGGUCAUCGUCCUCAGUCCCUGCCUGCAACUAGGUUGCCAACUGGCCCUUGAUUUCCCACCCAACUUGUUCAGUUUGCCCUCAAUCCUGGGGCCUCACUAAUUUCCCAAAAAGAUAUGGUUGGUACCACCUGUAGUUUGCUGUUGCAUGUUAACCUGACUUUUGGGAAACUCAAAUAAACACUUUUCAAACGCAUUGACCAUUUUUACUCUAUGACUUCUGCUUUGCAUGAUCGCUAGCUUGGUCACCCAUCAUGCUGCUUUCUGGUGAGCUGAAAGGAAAAUAAAUGGUCUAAAUUGAGCAACAAGAAAGUAAACUUUUAAGCAGGUACUUUCCAAGUGAAAUG